This 465-nucleotide ribosomal RNA is filed under the name uncultured bacterium. RNAcentral describes it as "bacterial SSU rRNA". It matches the Rfam family "Bacterial small subunit ribosomal RNA", at positions 338 to 795 of the family's 1533-position model. The record is from RNAcentral.
CCUACGGGUGGCUGCAGUAGGGAAUCUUCCGCAAUGGACGAAAGUCUGACGGAGCAACGCCGCGUGAGCGAAGAAGGCCUUCGGGUCGUAAAGCUCUGUUGUUAGGGAAGAACAAGUACCGGAGUAACUGCCGGUACCGUGACGGUACCUAACCAGAAAGCCACGCCUAACUACGUGCCAGCAGCCGCGGUAAUACGUAGGCGGCAAGCGUUGUCCGGAAUUAUUGGGCGUAAAGCGCGCGCAGGCGGUUCCUUAAGUCUGAUGUGAAAGCCCACGGCUCAACCGUGGGGGGUCAGUGGAAACUGGUGAACUUGAGUGCAGAAGAGGAGAGCGGAAUUCAACGUGUAGUGGUGAAAUGCGUAGAGAUGUGGAGGAACACCAGUGGCGAGGGCGGCUGUCUGGUCUGUUACUGACGCUGAGGCGCGAAAGCGUGGGGAGCAAAAAGGAUUAGAUACCCUAGUAGUC